UCCAUCUAACCAGCUCCAUAGUGAAGGGUUAGUAGGUUCUUUAUACAUAAUAGAUAUGGCUAACAUCUGUAGACAUACAUUUACUACCUAUGUAGUUGUGUCUAACACAAAUAACUAGAAAUGGAUUUAUUGGCUCAUAAAGUACAUAUUGGCAUUGGGGGGGGGGGGGUCCACCUUGUACUAAUUUUAUAACUCCAUUAGUAAUGCCUGUUUGCCGCACUCCUAUCUGAUGCUCAUCCUGGAGACCCGUUCUUUUUUCCCACUUUUUUGCUGUACCUUUAUUAGUAAGAUGGGAUAUUUUUUGUCUGUUGGCUAUUUUUAUGUCCUUGUCUGGUCUUGCCCAUUUCUUUAUUUCUGAAAGUAUAAAUUACUAAAGUUAACACCAUACAAAACUUAAGAUAGACAAGUGUCAGAGAAGAGACUGUUUUCUUCAGGGCUUCUGGUUGGUUCCACUUUUAAGUGUGCUGUAUAUCCUGGUACAGUAUCUACACAUUUCCAUGUGAAUAUGCAGAAACGUGAACACCUUUCAAAUAAACAGGAUUAUAUAGGAUUUUUAAGAUACCUUUGUCUUAAAUAUUAUGGUAUUUAAAUUCCUGUGAGGUGCAUGGUUAGCUAUUAAGAUGCUCUAGUCAUCAGUGUAAUCUUCAUCAGCUCUGAAAAGUGUCCAUUUCCCCACAUAGCCUUACCUACACUUGAUAGAGGAAAAGGAAACUGUCCUUACCUGCCUUCCCUGAUGAAUCCUGAAGUUGGAGUUCUUUAUUGGUCAUUUACAAUUCCCUGAGGGUUGUUCAUUCAUAGCUUCUGUGCCUUUGUAUUGGGUUAUGUAUGGGUAUCUGUUCUGCACUUCUCCCCUCAUUUAUGGUAACAGUAUCCAUAUUGAUUGUGGAUAACCCAUCCCAUAUGGCUUUGGUGAGCACGUGAGCAGGCCUGGCCUGAGCCACACAGCAUCCUAACCACAGCGCUUAGAGAGUAGGCAUACAGUGUAAAGCAGGCCAGGGAGAGUGCUCAGGAGCCGCAACCACUGGCAAAAAGGCUUUGGAGAUGCUGGAGACCCAAGGACAAUGUGAACCUGCACACUUACCAUAUGGAGAGAAUAACUGAGGAGAAAUUCAGGCCAGCAGGGAUGGUGAGAAAACUUAAGUUCUGAUAUUUUCUGGGGGCCCUAGAUCCAGAUGUGCCUAAAGCCUGCCCUACCUCUGGACUUUAAAGAUUUUUGAGCCAAUGAAGUCCCUUUCUUGUUUAAGAUAAUCACAUUUGGCCUCUGUCCUGAUUAUAUAUAGGGUAUUUGUAUUUUCUUACUGACUUGUAGCAAACCUUUGUAGUUUUAAAAUUAGAGACUUCAUGCAUUAUAUAAGUUAAUAAAAUUAGCAUGGCCUUCUAUGAUUUGGGCUCUGUU
RNAcentral lists this long non-coding RNA (1396 nucleotides) under Rattus norvegicus (Norway rat). Its description in RNAcentral is "long non-coding RNA NONRATT013694". Lineage: Eukaryota; Metazoa; Chordata; Mammalia; Rodentia; Muridae. The record is from RNAcentral.